RNAcentral lists this small RNA (115 nucleotides) under Klebsiella pneumoniae. RNAcentral describes it as "partial RtT sRNA". It matches the Rfam family "RtT RNA", at positions 1 to 112 of the family's 130-position model. From Rfam's summary of the family: This family represents a bacterial cis-regulatory element known as RtT RNA. The exact function of RtT is unknown although it is thought that it may be involved in changing the cellular response in relation to amino acid starvation. Lineage: Bacteria; Pseudomonadati; Pseudomonadota; Gammaproteobacteria; Enterobacterales; Enterobacteriaceae. The record is from RNAcentral.
UGCAUCUGAGGCCAGUGAGGAUGAGAACCUCCGGGGGCAGGAGGUUCGACUCGAGCGAAGCGAGAGAACGUUGCGUCAGCAACGGCCCGCAGGGCGAGCCACGAAGUGGUGAGUC